RNAcentral lists this ribosomal RNA (253 nucleotides) under uncultured bacterium. Its description in RNAcentral is "partial 16S ribosomal RNA". It matches the Rfam family "Bacterial small subunit ribosomal RNA", at positions 524 to 776 of the family's 1533-position model. The record is from RNAcentral.
UACGUAGGGAGCGAGCGUUAUCCGGAAUUAUUGGGCGUAAAGAGUGCGUAGGCGGUCUAUUAAGUCAAAUGUGAAAGCCCACAGCUUAACUGUGGAGGGUCAUUUGAAACUGGUAGACUUGAGUAUGGUAGAGGUAAGUGGAAUUUCAUGUGUAGCGGUAAAAUGCGUAGAUAUAUGAAGGAACACCAGUGGCGAAGGCGGCUUACUGGGCCAGUACUGACGCUGAGGCACGAAAGCGUGGGGAGCAAACAGG